UAACACGCCGAAAGGUGUACUAAUACCGCAUAAGACCACGGGAUCACAUGGUUCUGAGGUAAAAGAUUUAUCGGUUUGGGGUGGGCUCGCGUCCGAUUAGGUAGUUGGUGAGGUAACGGCCCACCAAGCCGACGAUCGGUAGCCGACCUGAGAGGGUGAUCGGCCACAUUGGGACUGAGACACGGCCCAAACUCCUACGGGAGGCAGCAGUGGGGAAUAUUGGGCAAUGGAGGAAACUCUGACCCAGCAACGCCGCGUGGAGGAAGAAGGUUUUCGGAUCGUAAACUCCUGUCCUUGGAGACGAGUAGAAGACGGUAUCCAAGGAGGAAGCCCCGGCUAACUACGUGCCAGCAGCCGCGGUAAUACGUAGGGGGCAAGCGUUGUCCGGAAUAAUUGGGCGUAAAGGGCGCGUAGGCGGCUCGGUAAGUCUGGAGUGAAAGUCCUGCUUUUAAGGUGGGAAUUGCUUUGGAUACUGUCGGGCUUGAGUGCAGGAGAGGUUAGUGGAAUUCCCAGUGUAGCGGUGAAAUGCGUAGAGAUUGGGAGGAACACCAGUGGCGAAGGCGACUAACUGGACUGUAACUGACGCUGAGGCGCGAAAGUGUGGGGAGCAAACAGGAUUAGAUACCCUGGUAGUCCACACUGU
RNAcentral lists this ribosomal RNA (643 nucleotides) under uncultured bacterium. RNAcentral describes it as "bacterial SSU rRNA". It matches the Rfam family "Bacterial small subunit ribosomal RNA", at positions 144 to 803 of the family's 1533-position model. The record is from RNAcentral.